RNAcentral lists this long non-coding RNA (766 nucleotides) under Bos taurus (domestic cattle). RNAcentral's name for it is "long non-coding RNA NONBTAT023006". Lineage: Eukaryota; Metazoa; Chordata; Mammalia; Artiodactyla; Bovidae. The record is from RNAcentral.
GUUGAAACUGGUAACUGAUGCUUCACUGUGGGUAUCUAAAAAGGUAAAUCAGCAUAUCUAAGGCAGAUGUGGACUGCAAGUGGCUUAACUCUAGGGUCAUUAUAUGUCUGAAAGUGUAUUCAGUUGGAUGGAAGUAAGACCUUUACACUAGCCUGGGUCAGCUAGUGUAUUUCUGAAGAUGAGGCUCAAUGACCCAGCAGGCUCAGUUAUGUAAGAAAUGAGGACUCCUGGCCAAUCGGGACUCUUAUAGCGGGCAGAUCCUGCUGCCCAUCCACCCCCAUCUGAGUGUGGGCUGCACCCAGGGCAUACUUGGGUGGCCAGAAUUGUGGCUGGCUACCUGCCUGCAGGCCCCAGGCUUCCAAGAAUCUCGGGGGAGACCUGUCCUUGUUACAUUUUCUGGGGUCUGGGCUGCCUCGGCAGCACCCUUUGACUUUAGUGAGCCUCACUGCACUUUUCUCUCAUGCUGUUUGUGUUUAGAAUUUUGUCAUUUUUAGCUGAGACCAAAUUAAUCUUUGGUGCACAAGGUGAGCUUAAAAGCUUACCAUUCAUUGUUUAACAAGCUACCCGCCUCAUGGAAUGUGACCCCUGUCUGCAGGAUCUGACUUCCCCCUCAUUUUCUGUCUCCGUAUCAUCUGUUGGCAUUGUUAGGGCUGUCAGUGGGAUCGCUGGCAUUUACUAUCAUGUCUUUCAUGAACCAAGUUGAUUUUGGGGCUCUAAAACUGCUUCACUUGUUAAUUCAUUUAUUCCUUCAUUCAUUGACUGUUUU